Molecule: long non-coding RNA, 1974 nt
Filed under: Homo sapiens (human)
Lineage: Eukaryota; Metazoa; Chordata; Mammalia; Primates; Hominidae
Description: HSALNT0107389
Source: RNAcentral
AGAAGAGAAUGCCUUUAUUCUGUAUAAUAAACUAAACAAUGCCAAUUAUCCCACAGUGGAUGCCUUUAAAAUGCCAGAAACAAAUUGAGAAAAAAUAAAAAUUUGUGCCAUUAUGCCGUAAUACUCACAUUCUGUUAAUUUGCUUUGAAGAGUAAAAUAUUUUUGGAAACCUUAGUUUAACAAUAGUAAAAUAUUUUGGAAACCUAAAUUUAAUAGCAAUUUGACUACCAUUAAAACUAGCUUAUUUUAGAGAUUCCCUCUAAAAUGUUUAUCCAAGGGCCUAAGAUACUUCUUCAGUGAUGGUUAGUGCUGUCUUCCAGGCAGCCUUUGCUUCAGAAAUCUAGGGAGUGGCAACAAAGGCCUAGGCUUUUGGAAGAGGGGUGGGGUCCAUGCCAAAAGGAUAAUGAGAGGAGAAGGGAAAUGGUAUAGAGCCUAUCUUUGUCAUUUUGCAAUUUGGCUCAGGCUCACACUGUCCCAUUCUCAGAAAGCAGUUUUAUUUAUAUCUGAGGACAGAUAACUACUGUGCUACCAGUGCAGAUGCUAAAAGAAUCUUUCAAAUGCCAAAAGACAGUCCACAGGGGAGCAGUUCUGACUUUCUCUCAGCCUAGCAGUCAAUACAAGUUUAGUUGCCUGAAGCUUCUCUUGUUUUGUCAAAGACUUUAAGGAUCAAAUAAAACUUGCAAGGGUAUCUCAACAUAGCACAUCUAUAACAUAUACAUAUUAGUAACUAUAAUUAUAAUAACUAUUAUUCUCUGAGGUUAGGAGGGAGGGCAUACAGAAAACGAUGAGCACCUUGAGACCCAAUCAGGACAACCAGACUAAAAUAAACUCAACUCAAAGGGCAGAGCUGGAUUCAGUAGGUCAAUGAUGGACACUGAAACUGGAUUGAUGUGUAGAGUAUAUGGCUUAAGUAGUGGAAGCUUUUACCAUCAUUAGGGAUAAAGCAAAUGUUAGGACUUGCCUAUAUAUGGGCUGUGGGAAGAGGAGACAGUAAAACAAAGCAAAGAAGGAACAGGAGAGGAACCAGGGGUUUCAGCACCAUAGAGGCGAGAGUUGCCAGUGGAAGGAAGCGGUCAAGGGGAUCCACAGCUCUACAGGGGUCUUGGCAAUUAGAUGUCCCUGAUUAGCUGGAAAGGAGAUAUUUUAGCACAAGUCAGUGGCAAAGGGUUGAAUGAUAGUUGGAGGUGAGGAAGUAGAAACUGAAGAUGGCAUGAGGAAACAGAGUGCCUCAAAUAGGCAAGAAAAUUGAAAGUACAUAAAUACUUUAGGAUAAGAAAGACCUGAGUAAUAGAAAGAACUUGAGAGAGGAGACCAGUGAAAAGGCAGGUAAGAGAAGAUGCCAUUGAAGGAAGCAGCAGUGGUGGAGCAAGUGUGAGUUCCAAGAUGGAAGGCAUGAGGAUGGAAGGAGAAGACGAAUUUAAAAAAUUAAAAUGCUGAAGAAUUUGCUAAGGUGGACUGGAAGGAAACUGAUGCUCACAUGGAACAUCUCCAAAUUCAGAGUAAAGUCAUGCUGGGGUUGUUUAGAAAGGGUGAGAGGCUGUGACUAGAAACUAAUAGGGUAAAUGCUGUAGGGAACGUAAUAGAAAAUCAAGAGAGCUGAUUCAAGGAUUGCUGACUUCAGUGAGUCCUCAGCCCAAGCCACUGAAGAUUAACUUUAGAUACUUUGCUUCAGACUCUGCACAUUUGAGUGUAAACAUAGCGGGUAGCCACAGGCCACUCCUUAGGAAAGAGGCAGAACACUCAGCUAGCCCACUGUGUCUUGCAGCCUACACCCUGUCUAUUUGGAUGCUUAUAGCAUGACCUCUAGCCGUACCAGGCUCUUCUAGAUCCAAGCCCUGCUCACGCCCUGGUACUAAGUCUCAGGUAUUUAUGUGAUUCCUGGAAUGUUCCCUGUGGACUCAGUCUUCAUCCUUUUGGUCUACAGCUGAAACUGCUCCUGGCCUGGUUCCUAAAAGGUCUGGCUGUGUUUUCAUA